This 2697-nucleotide long non-coding RNA is filed under the name Daphnia pulex (common water flea). RNAcentral describes it as "uncharacterized LOC124197554, transcript variant X14". The record is from RNAcentral. Lineage: Eukaryota; Metazoa; Arthropoda; Branchiopoda; Diplostraca; Daphniidae.
GCAUUGUAGAGCUUUUUAAUUCAACAUAUUUAUUAGUUUCAUCAUAUGAAUUACUUCAUCGUAGUGAAUUUCCGGAACUUCUCUCGUUUUUCUUUUGUUCAAUCGAUAGCAGAUGUGCGAACGGGUUCCCAUCUUCUUAUUCACGUAUAAACCUCAGAAAUACACCGAUUACGUACACCAAUUCCGAGAUUACACCAAUCAAUCACAAAAAAAAUUUACUCUGUGAUGGAAAAGAAGCUAGGCAGCCGCUAGGCUAUAUCAGCCAGAUGAUGUUCAAGCUGUUUUGUGGUGUUGUUCAAUGUGCAGGAAUUUGCGACCUCUCACGUUGAUGCGAAAGAAAACAUUAGAAGACCCUAUACGAUGUUGUUCUUCCAUUUGGUGACAGCAGCCCAAAAAUGACGCUGAUGGACAUGAACUAAAAAAAAAAAUGUAACGCAAGCAAAAGCACACGUACAUGUCCGUUAUGCUGGCGGGAGAAUUUUUACCUACCAAAACCAAUCACGAUUUGCCUACUGCCUAAUUCAUUGGAGCUCUUUAUGUUCCCAUAUUUGAUCGGUUAUUAUUGAGGUCGUUUCAUCGUCGCCGUUCGUCGCUCUGAAUAGGAAGAAAACGACAAAAGGUGGCAAAUAGAUACAAGUUCCCAUUACUAACCGCGUUUCGACGAAAAAGGCUCGACGUUUUGCUGCUGUUAUCAACGAAAUAAGAUGGUACUCCCUCCGACGAUUCGCUUCUCCACACUUUCACGUUUGCUGUUGUCUUGUGCCCUACUGAGUUUAGUCAUCAGUUCAUCUCCUCCUGCUGACGAUGGAAUUUUUCACAAAGGACUGAAGGAUUGCAAUUCGAGCCAUAUCUCAUGUGAAAGGAAAACGGCAGCUUGACCGGAAGAGUUAGUGUGUGACCAACUUAAGAUAAGGCAACAAAGGAAAGCAAUCGGGUCAAAGAGUUUAGACCUAGGACAUCUACUACACUGAAAUCUGCACGGGAAAAGAUGGCAUCAGAAUAUGCAAUUCUUCUCGCUCCAUCAGUGUGCUACCGCUGGACAUGCCUGUGGUUCCCACGACUUGUCAUUUGCGUAAAUCUUUUGUCUGGAUGACCGAAUCCGAAUCCCACAUGAACAACUCUCACGUAGCCGUGGACAGAUUCUACCGUAAUGUAACCCAGUGCGCCUGUCUCAUGUAGUUGGAUGGUACCAUAUGUUGCAGUAGCUGUUAAACUGGAUUCCCUCAUCAGAACAAGUCGCUAGGCAUAAAUGGUUUGGUUUACAUGUUGCAUCAGGAAUUUCAAUAUCCACGUUGAAAGGAUUUUUUGUUACAAGAAAAUUUAAUUCUGUGAGUUAAUCACCAUCAUUUCAUUCACCACAAAUAAAACUGCAAGUAUAGGCUAUUUUUCUUCAUCUUUAUUGGCACUGCUUACCGAAUCCAGUGGGAAGUGAACUCGAGCAUUCAGUGUCUGACACACCCAACCUGAACCACUGCUGAAGGCCUAAAUAUAUCACUGUUGAAGACAAAUUGUGGCCACUGGAUAUAUCGACGUUGGUUCCGGUGACUGCGGGAUCGUCAGCAAGCAGCCAAGGGUUCACCGGACAUAAAAAUAGAGUUUGAUAACUUUAAAAUCUUUUGACUCUGCUGAUACACAAGCCAACAAUCUUCUAUAACACGAGCCACAAGAUUAUUGGCUCGUCAUCGUUCUAUCUAUACAAACAAUUAAUCAGCACGAUAAAAUACUGCAUAUCACUAUAGCGAUGGCACAGGUAUGCUGUAACUCUUCAAUGGCCGAAGUUUAAAUUCAGCAUUCAACGGUUUGUUACAUAGAAACCCUAAAACUUUUGACAGGAUAAAUUUGUGUCAUCCACUGCUUCGUGAAAAUGUGUUUGAGUGAAACACUGUUCAAAUGUUGACUUUGUUUCCUUUAACUGAUAUUAGUUAUAGAAUCGAUUUGAAUCAAAGCGCUACCGUUCCGACAUCGAUACUGUAUCGAGGCCGUUCUCUGCGGCAAUAAAUGUUCCAAAGUUGGAAACACAACUUUAAAUUUUUCUAACAUGACAUGUCUCGACUUAACUACAUGCAGCUAGCGUUAUUUUUGCAGCCCACGGGAUAGAUUGCCAUUACGUUGACGACUGGAGCGUCUUUCCAGGUCCUGUUUGCGACCUUUCGGUUUUGUUUAUUGUCAAUGUGAAUGGUCGUUUGAAGAUUUGCCAGGUUCCAGAGAUCUGCUAAAAGAGGGCUACCGUCUUUCUUUCGGUUUCAUCGGUUUCUUUUCAUCAAUCCAAUGAACAACACUGAAAUUCAGACUUCAAUGAAGAAUCUUGGCAGCAAUUCAGUCUAAACUGUGACAAAAUUAUAUUUUACACACAGACAUGGGAACAGUGGGAGACAACAAGAAGGUGCAGUCGGACAUGUGAAAGGAGUAAGAAUUGAACACGGGACAUUUGGAAUCAGCAAACAGUUGCCACAACCAUUACAUCAUUUUCAUUCUUCCAUUUUGGGCGAUCUAAGGACUCGAAACUAUUUUUAAAUGGAUACCUGUCUGCUUGUAUCACUUACGCCGGAGUCCCGUGUUCAAAUUCCUGGCGUAGGCUGUUGUAGAUUCCUUCAGACGUGUUGGUGUGGGAGAUUCGUUCAGGGAGACGUUCUGGAGAAUAUUUUCAAAAAAAAAGUGGUUCGAAAUGGAAGAUUUAUUCAUUCAUCGAAGAAACGA